UUCGUAGGUGGUGCGGCAAGUUGGGAGUGAAAUCUCUGGGCUUAACUCAGAGGCUGCUUUCCAAACUGCCGUGCUCGAGUGCGGGAGAGGCCAGUGGAAUUGCAGGUGUAGCGGUGAAAUGCGUAGAUAUCUGCAGGAACACCCGUGGCGAAGGCGGCUGGCUGGACCGCAACUGACACUGAGGAACGAAAGCUAGGGGAGCAAACA
This 207-nucleotide ribosomal RNA is filed under the name uncultured bacterium. RNAcentral's name for it is "partial 16S ribosomal RNA". It matches the Rfam family "Bacterial small subunit ribosomal RNA", at positions 568 to 774 of the family's 1533-position model. The record is from RNAcentral.